RNAcentral lists this transfer RNA (67 nucleotides) under Nephotettix cincticeps (green rice leafhopper). Its description in RNAcentral is "tRNA-His". The record is from RNAcentral. Lineage: Eukaryota; Metazoa; Arthropoda; Insecta; Hemiptera; Cicadellidae.
AACUUGAAUAGUUUAUAAAAAAUAUAGGUUUGUGGUUCCUAAGAAAUUUAUUUUAAAUUUUAAGUUU